RNA transcript from Gadus morhua (Atlantic cod), 4084 nucleotides. It is a transcript of the gene named membrane-spanning 4-domains subfamily A member 4D, with no coding region annotated. Lineage: Eukaryota; Metazoa; Chordata; Actinopteri; Gadiformes; Gadidae. The transcript has 7 exons. The record is from RefSeq and is a predicted model, not a curated record.
GUUGCUGAACGGAAGUAGAAUCAUAACAGAGUCAUGGGGUGUCGUUCACGCGAACUUUUCGACGUCGCAAAUGUGUUUCCCCCAUCAUUUCCAGCGACGUGAAUGCGCCACUAAAGCGGAAAAACCUGAACGAAUUGUGGUGGAGGCAACAGAGGAAGAGCCAUACUUACACCGUCUGUGGAUCUAAUUUAAACUGAAUUCUGCGGUAACAACGAGGUUUAAUUCUUUAUCAACAGAUCCACAUCUGAGGUCAUAGUGUGAAUCUAAGAUGUCUGGGAGCCUUGAUUUGAGGAUGGAGAGCGGAGAGAGGGAACAAUUGGCUUCUCCCCAGAAUGAACCAACAGCCUCUGAGGGCUUCGGAAAGUUCCAGCGAUUGAAGCCCACAAUACUCGGAGCGAUUGAAGUAACAAUUGGGAUCUUCAUGGCACUGACCGCAAUCACGUAUCUGGCUGUCGAUGUCGACCCUUACCUAACGGCAGUCCUCUUCUGGGGAAUCCUCAUCUGGAACCAAAGAGUUCUGGUGAUGUUGUCCCCUACAGUACAUCCCUGCUGGGGGUCUGACCAUCGCUGCUGACAGGAAACCCACCAGGGCCAAGGUGUGCGCUGCGUUGGGGAUGAAUGUGCUGGUGGCUCUCUCGACCGUCGCUGGAAGUCCUCUUCAUGGCUUUGCUAUUGUAAUAUUUGGGUUUGAAGAGUGCGUAACUCUGUGUCACAGUGAAUUUGUCAUGCUGGCAGCGUCCAUCUUGCUGUUCAUCAUCUCCAUAAUCGUUGUUGCAUCUGCAGUGUCUGCUCUGUGUUCCUCUAGAAAGCCAUCAAAAGAACACACAGUCAUCUAAGAGGAACUUUUUGUUGGUUCUUUCAAUCCCUAUGUGAAAAAAUAUUAUACUUCAACUACACUUUUGACAGGAUGUACUAAGUACACUUUUAGUAUGUAACUGUAUUCUGUACUAAUUUCGUCGCAUUCAAGCAUACCAAAAUGUACUAAGGUAUACCUUAUGUCAGGGCUAUUCAAAUACAAAUUCAGUUGGGCAAGUUUUUCUAAACAAGAAAUUCAGUUGGGCCAGACAUUUUCAGCAGCAAGUAAUGACAAAUUUUGGACCAACACAAAAAUGUAUUGAAAAACACAAACGUUUUAUUAAUUGUCAUAUCUGAAAAAUUACAUUGAUACAUCUUUGGUGAAAUCUGACCAAGGCAAAACUCUGAAAACCAAAUAGUGCACAAUAUUAGGCCUGUCAACAGCCAGUUUCCUUUUUGAAACAAAAUAAAUAUUUGUCAUAUCUGACCAAUAAGCAAAACACAAGGUGCAUCGAAAACAAAAUAGUGCCCAUUUAUCGGAGGUUUCCUUAUUUAAAUAAAUAAAAUAAACAUUUCGGUCACAUAUUAAAACAAGAAUAUCCCCCUGGGAUCAAUAUGCCAAAGUGGAUGAAAAAAACAGAACUAGGCAUAUUAAAGCUUAGUAAACAAACCCAAAACAAGAAAUAUCUAAGUAGCUUAACACGCAUGAAUACUUUGUUGCACAUUUAGUUACACAUCCUUUUGUUGCUAUGUAUGCAACAGUUUCACUGCUGAGUUCUCAGUGGGAGAUGUGACAUCUUUUGUUCUGAAUGAGAGCAGUGAUUCUGGGCUCAUAAGAUGUCAAUGCAAUCCGAAGGCAUUCGUGAAGUGUGUACUGUCAGACAGUGAGCAAAGAGAGCUUUUUUUUAAAUUGAUGUGUGAGAAGCUUGAUUCACAUGUGUAUGUUGAGCCAAACAUACUUAGCACGAGGACUGCUACUCUCUUGACGUUAGGGAACUGAUGUUUGUUGACAUCAGCCCAUAACCUGGCAGGCCCGUUGGUGCGCAGCUCCUGUGCCAUCGUUAAGGAUGACCGCAUGUCCACAAGUUUGGGAAUGAAUUUCCCCUCAUCAAUGGGAACGGCCACCUCCUUUGCUUUGGCGGAUAAAGCCCCUUCUAUUGUGACAGUGAACGGGUCUCUGGCAAAACACAUCACCUCUGUUGGCAAAGCAAGUCCAUCCAAUCGACCAGCAAAGAUUUAUUUUAACCUCGCAACGAAAUUUGUCAUCACAGCGGUAAUGCUUGCCGGGGAUGAGAUGCAUUUGCAGAGCGUCGGCCAAUGCAACAUUCGGCCUGUGCUCGAGUCAGUCCCGAAAAGAUCCAGUUUGGCUUGGGAUGCGAGCAUCUGUUCCACCAGUUCAAUGACAGUUUUGUCCCUGCCUUGUAGUCACACAUUUAAGUCAUUCAGGUGUUUGAAUAUGUCACUGAGAAAGCUGACAUCGCCAAUGAAGUUGUCACCCAGCAUUCGGUUCACGUCUGUUUCGGCCUUCUUAUGCUUUCUGCUGCGGAGGAAGGCUGUGAUUUCCUCUCCACAGAAACGCUCGAGCGCUCUGCCUUUGGACAGCCCCCUGACGUCGUUGUGCAAAAGCAGGUCAUGGUGCUCAGCAGACAUGUCUGACAGCAGCAUGCGGAAUAAGCGGUGUUGGAGCCUUGAUGUGGAGCGGAUACUACUACACUACACAACACUACUUUCCAACACGUGUGACGUGUAACUUCACAUUCCCUGGCCAUAUGUUUGCCGUGAUGUGACUGGAUGGAAAGUAAGCACUUUUGUGAGAACCGCUCAUUUAAACAACUUUAAACUCAACAUCGCUAUUGGGUCCCGAGCAAAACAACCGCCGAGUGUGAAGCCGUCGAGCUAAUCGAAGGAGAGACAGACGGACAUACAGAGAGAUUCCUGCUAUUGUAGUUUGAUUAUCUGUACCUUGGCUUCGACCUUUUCAGGCUCAAGCUGAUCUCUGGCCUCCCCUUUUUCCCCCUUCCCAGUCAGGGUAGACUUGGCCAGGGUCUCUUUUCCAAACUCAAUGUGGCCAGCUCCUCCUCAGUGUAACCUUGUGAAGGAUUGUUGACAAUAAUGCACGCUGUAUUUACACAAUGUUUUUUUAUAAUAUAUAUCUUAUUUAUAUUUACAAUUGUUGCAUCUAUUUGUGUUUGUUAAAAACACCUGCCAGAGUCCAAUUCCUUGUAUGUUGUUCAUACUUGGCUAAUAAAGCCGAUUCCGAUUCUGAUUAACCCAUCACAUGAAUGUAAAGUUUAAAUAUAUUUACUAUAGUAAAUGAGUCUUGUUUCAACUUCUUCAUGUUCGUGUGAGUGGCUGAAUCUGCGUUGUGUAUUUCUCUUAAGUAGAGGCGUGACCAAGGAUCUCAGUCCGGACUCAGGAAAUCCAACGUUAACCAAUCCUCCAACUCCUCUUCCCAAGAGAAUCAGAACAAAAGGGCCACGUAAAUACAACUUUAUCACAAAAAGGUUUGAAAUCAAAGAUAUAAGACAUACCUGAAGAUAAAUAUAAAACAACAGCUUCCUUUCAGAAUGUGCCCUUUAACAAUCCUCCAACUCCUACACAAAGCACACAGAGGGGGAGGGGUACUAGCAUGACUACACCAAGGUCAGGUGCAUGCCAGCAUGUCGUAAUAAAAUAUAACGUUCUCCAAAACACUGCAAUCUAUGCAUUGAUAUUUACAUGACACUUCCAUUAAACAAUGUAUAGUCAAAAUAAUUAAUAUAAAUAAUGGUAAACUAUAAGAUGGUUAAAGACUUGAUCACAAAAUGGGGGGAAAUAAAUGCACACACCACUUCCCAAGAGAAUCAGAACCAAAGGGAAGAGGGCAGGGCGGGGGGACAGGAAACUUAUGGGGUUCUCAGAGAUGUGGGCGGGAUUAGGGAAGGAGGUGGAGCUAAAUCAAAUAACUAAAUCAAAUAGAAAGGGGAACAUAAGGCAGCUGGAAAGCUAAACUUUAAAACUGUAAAAGGCAAUUUUGUGUAAUUAUAACUAAAGGUAUAUUACACCCUGUUACACUUGCUCUGUUAAGUUGUUAAUUAACAAUAGGCAUGAACCAAAAUUCUCUCUCUGAAGUUUGUUUAUUAACUCAACGACCAGCGACCAGCUGGUCGGUUGACUCUGCGACCAGCAUUGAGUUAGCAUUGAUUGGACACAGAGGUGGCGCAUGUAUACAAUAGGUACCUAUCCUAUGAAAUACCUUGACAGUAGUUCUUGAGUCAUUUAGCACAAUAUUAAACAGCUUAAACCAUCA